Molecule: ribosomal RNA, 513 nt
Filed under: uncultured bacterium
Lineage: Bacteria
Description: bacterial SSU rRNA
Rfam family: Bacterial small subunit ribosomal RNA
Source: RNAcentral
GAGUUUGAUCCUGGCUCAGAUUGAACGCUGGCGGCAGGCCUAACACAUGCAAGUCGAGCGGUAGAGAGAAGCUUGCUUCUCUUGAGAGCGGCGGACGGGUGAGUAAUGCCUAGGAAUCUGCCUGGUAGUGGGGGAUAACGCUCGGAAACGGACGCUAAUACCGCAUACGUCCUACGGGAGAAAGCAGGGGACCUUCGGGCCUUGCGCUAUCAGAUGAGCCUAGGUCGGAUUAGCUAGUUGGUGAGGUAAUGGCUCACCAAGGCGACGAUCCGUAACUGGUCUGAGAGGAUGAUCAGUCACACUGGAACUGAGACACGGUCCAGACUCCUACGGGAGGCAGCAGUGGGGAAUAUUGGACAAUGGGCGAAAGCCUGAUCCAGCCAUGCCGCGUGUGUGAAGAAGGUCUUCGGAUUGUAAAGCACUUUAAGUUGGAGGAAGGGCAGUAAAUUAAUAACUUUGCUGUUUUGACGUUACCGACAGAAUAAGCACCGGCUAACUCUGUGCCAGCCGACC